UACGAAGGUCCCAAGCGUUAUCCGGAUUUAUUGGGUUUAAAGGGUGCGUAGGCGGACUAUUAAGUCAGUGGUGAAAGCCCCAAGCUUAACUUGGGAACUGCCAUUGAUACUGAUGGUCUUGAGUACAUUUGAGGUGGGCGGAAUGUGUCAUGUGGCGGUGAAAUGCUUAGAUAUGACACAGAACACCGAUUGCGAAGGCAGCUCACUAAACUGUAACUGACGCUGAGGCACGAAAGCGUGGGGAGCAAACAGG
This 253-nucleotide ribosomal RNA is filed under the name uncultured bacterium. Its description in RNAcentral is "partial 16S ribosomal RNA". It matches the Rfam family "Bacterial small subunit ribosomal RNA", at positions 524 to 776 of the family's 1533-position model. The record is from RNAcentral.